Molecule: ribosomal RNA, 498 nt
Filed under: uncultured bacterium
Lineage: Bacteria
Description: partial 16S ribosomal RNA
Rfam family: Bacterial small subunit ribosomal RNA
Source: RNAcentral
ACUCAAAUGAAUAGACGGGGGCCCGCACAAGCGGUGGAGCAUGUGGUUCAAUUCGACGCAACGCGAAGAACCUUACCGAGGUUUGAACUGUGCAGGACAGCCCUAGAGAUAGGGUCUCCCUUCGGGGUCUGCAUAGAGGUGCUGCAUGGCUGUCGUCAGCUCGUGUCGUGAGAUGUUGGGUUAAGUCCCGCAACGAGCGCAACCCUUGCCUCCUGUUGCUAACAGGUAAAGCUGAGCACUCUGGAGAGACUGCCGGUGAUAAACCGGAGGAAGGUGGGGAUGACGUCAAGUCCUCAUGGCCUUUAUGCCUCGGGCUACACACGUGCUACAAUGGCUGGUACAAAGGGUCGCAAAACCGCGAGGUGGAGCUAAUCCCAAAAAGCCAGUCCCAGUUCGGAUUGGAGUCUGCAACUCGACUCCAUGAAGUUGGAAUCGCUAGUAAUCGCGGAUCAGCACGCCGCGGUGAAUACGUUCCCGGGCCUUGUACACACCGCCCGU